Centropristis striata (black sea bass) is the source of this 145-nucleotide long non-coding RNA. RefSeq lists it as uncharacterized. Lineage: Eukaryota; Metazoa; Chordata; Actinopteri; Perciformes; Serranidae. The record is from RefSeq and is a predicted model, not a curated record. The transcript is spliced from 2 exons.
AAACUGGAAAAUAAUGUACAUUUCAGAAUUAUACAAGGAACAAGAAAUGGGUUAACAACUUAACUCUAUGGAGUCUUGGGCUAUUUUGUCCAUUUUUGAAUUCUUUUCAUGUCUUUGUAAGUAAUUUUGUGUCUUUUUUUGGUCA